This is a non-coding RNA of Pangasianodon gigas (Mekong giant catfish), 73 nucleotides long. The record is from the annotation of a GenBank genome assembly. Lineage: Eukaryota; Metazoa; Chordata; Actinopteri; Siluriformes; Pangasiidae.
UCCCUGGUGGUCUAGCAGCUAAGGAUCUCCCACUCUCACCGCUGCGGCCCGCGUUCGAUUCCCGGACAGGGAA